RNAcentral lists this unclassified non-coding RNA (387 nucleotides) under Hevea brasiliensis (rubber tree). The record is from RNAcentral. Lineage: Eukaryota; Viridiplantae; Streptophyta; Magnoliopsida; Malpighiales; Euphorbiaceae.
CAAAAACUCAAGUCAAACUUCACACAACAAUGAUGGACACAGAGAACAGUAUAUUCUUCCCCUCCUAUCUGCCGGCUGAAUUGUACACCUCAUUACAGUUCAAGAACAACAGAUACAAAUGCAGUAAAAUUGCAAGCAAUUAAUACAAAAUAAUAAAUAAAUAAAAGGGGGACAAAAAAGUAAAACUACAAUUUGAGAAGCAAGAGUAAGAGCCAUGAUUUAAAAACCGAGUCCCCUGUUUGAUUGAUAGAUUUUUAGUUGCACUAGGAUCUCUGCUUUAUAAACUGCCAAAUCCCUGUAAGAAACACAAAAAACAAAACAAAAACACACGAGUCUCUUGCAGCAUGACUUCAUCAAAAUUUGCUUUAGUAACAGCUGUGCCUUGUU